GUCGAGGAUCUUCCGCAAUGGGCGCAAGCCUGACGGAGCGACGCCGCGUGGAGGAUGAAGGCCUUCGGGUUGUAAACUCCUGUCACAGGUUAUGAAUGACGACGUGCUAACACCACGGCGUUUGACAAAGGCCUGAGAGGAAGCCACGGCUAACUCCGUGCCAGCAGCCGCGGUAAUACGGAGGUGGCAAGCGUUGCUCGGAAUCACUGGGCAUAAAGGGCGCCUAGGCAGUGCGGCAAGUCGGCUGUGAAAUCCUUCGGCUCAACCGAAGAAGUGCAUCCGAAACUGCCGCGCUAGAGGACGAGAGGGGAGAGUGGAACUCCUGGUGGAGCGGUGAAAUGCGUAGAUAUCAGGAGGAACGCCGGUGGCGAAAGCGACUCUCUGGCUCGUUCCUGACGCUGACGCGCGAAAGCUAGGGGAGCGAACGGGAUUAGAUACCCGGGUAGUCC
This 449-nucleotide ribosomal RNA is filed under the name uncultured bacterium. Its description in RNAcentral is "bacterial SSU rRNA". It matches the Rfam family "Bacterial small subunit ribosomal RNA", at positions 354 to 796 of the family's 1533-position model. The record is from RNAcentral.